AGAGCAUAAGGGCAUACGGUGGAUGGCUCGACAGAACGUGCUGACGAAGGACGUAGCAGCCUGCGAUAAGCUUCGGGGAGGUGGCAAGCAACCUUUGAUCCGGAGAUAUCCGAAUGGGGAAACCUGGUACGGGGAAAGCCGUAUCAUCUGGCGCUGAAUAUAUAGGCGUUGGAGAGGCACCUGGGGAAGUGAAACAUCUCAGUACCCAGAGGAAAAGAAAAAGAUCUGCUCGUUGUUAUGUAGAAACGUAGAAAGCGUAAGCGAUUCUACGGAGUUCUACAUACACAACGAGCCCAUUCCCUUAGUAGUGGCGAGCGAAAAGGGAUCAGUCCAAACCUUUAUAUAUAGGGGAAUCCACUGGAAAGUGGAACCAAAGAAGGUGAUAGUCCUGUACGCGAAAUAUAUCUGUGUGAUUGUAGUAAUGGCACUUGAGUACCACGAGACUCGAGAAAUCUUGUGGGAAUCUGCCGCGACUAUGUGGCAAGACUAAAUACAUGUUCUGAUCGAUAGUGAACCAGUACCGCGAGGGAAAGCUUAAAAGUACCCCGGAAGGGGGAUGAAAUAGUAUCUGAAACCGUAUGCUUACAAGGAGUCGGAGUCUUGUCGCAAGACAGGAUGACGGCGUUCCUAUUGAAGAAUGAGCCAACGAGUGUGCUACGUGUCGCACAGUUAAGUCCUCCGGGACGAAGCUAAAGUGAAAGCGAGCGUUCAAUACGCGUAUUUUGAAAAUUGUUCACGUUAUUUGGAAAUUUAUUUUUGAGUAACGUGAACAUUUUCAAACAGUGACACGUACAUGACCCGAAACCGGGUGACCUAACCAUGACCAGGGUGAAGCGGGUGUAACAACCCGUGGAGGCCCGAACCCACGUGCUGUGCAAAACACGGGGACGAGUUGUGGUUAGCGGAGAAAUUCCAAUCGAACUCGGUAAUAGCUGGUUCUCCCCGAGAUAGCUUUAGGGCUAGCGUCGGUUAAUAGUACAUAGGGGGUAGAGCACUGAAUGGGCUUUGCGGCUUCGGCUAGCGAGCCUAACCAAACUCCGAAUACCUAUGUAUGUUCCCGGCAGUCAGACGAUGGGGGCUAAGCUCCAUCCGUCAAAAGGGUAACAGCCCAGAUCUCAAACUAAGGCCCCUAAAUCGCCAUUAAGUGUGAAAGGUAGUAGGAAGGCUUAAACAACCAGGAAGUUGGCUUAGAAGCAGCCACCUUUUAAAGAUAGCGUAACAGCUCACUGGUCAAGCUUUCCUGC
RNAcentral lists this ribosomal RNA (1244 nucleotides) under Candidatus Uhrbacteria bacterium GW2011_GWC2_41_11. Its description in RNAcentral is "bacterial LSU rRNA". It matches the Rfam family "Bacterial large subunit ribosomal RNA", at positions 1 to 1162 of the family's 2925-position model. The record is from RNAcentral. Lineage: Bacteria; Candidatus Uhriibacteriota.